Molecule: ribosomal RNA, 236 nt
Filed under: uncultured bacterium
Lineage: Bacteria
Description: partial 16S ribosomal RNA
Rfam family: Bacterial small subunit ribosomal RNA
Source: RNAcentral
UACAGAGACUGCAAGCGUUAUUCGGAUUCACUGGGCGUAAAGGGUGCGCAGCGGCCAAGUGUGUUAGGCGUGAAAGCCUGGGCUUAACCCCCAGAAUUGCACUAAAACUACAUGCUAGAGCAUUGGAGAGGGGGUAGCGGAAUUCACGUGUAGCAGUGAAAAUGCGUAGAUAUCGUGAGGAACACCAGAGGCGAAGGCGGCUACCUGGACAAAUUGCUGACGCUCAGGCACGAAAA